AUUGAACGCUGGCGGCAUGCUUUACACAUGCAAGUCGGACGGCAGCACAGAGAAGCUUGCUUCUUGGGUGGCGAGUGGCGAACGGGUGAGUAAUAUAUCGGAACGUACCGAGUAAUGGGGGAUAACUAAUCGAAAGAUUAGCUAAUACCGCAUAUUCUCUGAGGAGGAAAGCAGGGGACCUUCGGGCCUUGCGUUAUUCGAGCGGCCGAUAUCUGAUUAGCUAGUUGGUGGGGUAAAGGCCUACCAAGGCGACGGUCAGUAGCGGGUCUGAGAGGAUGAUCCGCCACACUGGGACUGAGACACGGCCCAGACUCCUACGGGAGGCAGCAGUGGGGAAUUUUGGACAAUGGGCGCAAGCCUGAUCCAGCCAUGCCGCGUGUCUGAAGAAGGCCUUCGGGUUGUAAAGGACUUUUGUCAGGGAAGAAAAGGCUGUUGCUAAUACCGACAGCUGAUGACGGUACCUGAAGAAUAAGCACCGGCUAACUACGUG
Molecule: ribosomal RNA, 490 nt
Filed under: uncultured bacterium
Lineage: Bacteria
Description: partial 16S ribosomal RNA
Rfam family: Bacterial small subunit ribosomal RNA
Source: RNAcentral